Molecule: long non-coding RNA, 1723 nt
Filed under: Gossypium barbadense (sea-island cotton)
Lineage: Eukaryota; Viridiplantae; Streptophyta; Magnoliopsida; Malvales; Malvaceae
Description: long non-coding RNA (GBAR_LNC017538)
Source: RNAcentral
UUUUAACCAUUUAUAUUAAAACAUAACAACCUUUAUACACAUCCUAUGUACAUGCCACAUUACCCAAAGGAAAAUAUACAUCACCAAAGUUAUGCUGAAGUCGGGAUUAAUCUGGAUGCUGAACCGGGACCUUUGACUUCUAUCGACCUGCGCACGAAAACAACCGUAUGCUGAGUAUUUCAUACUCAGUGGUAUUACCAUAAUUCAAAUUAUAACAAUAAUAAACAUGUAAUGCAUAAUUCGUAUAUACAAUUUAAAUUCAAUAUUUCAACAAUAGCAAUUCAUCAACCAAUAUCGUAUAUCCACAAUUUGAGUUUGAAUAAAUCAUGAACCUUAGGUUCAUUUCUCAAUCUCAUUUCACAUUUCAAUUCACAAUUCAACUUUUUCAUAUCAUUUCAAUAGCUCGUUUGACCAACUCGUUUGGUUUAUCAUUUUAUCAUUUACCCUAUUAACAAAACUCGGACUUUGGCGGAUACACGGAUCCAACCAAACACACCAGAAUGGCACCCAGUGCCUCAUUGGAUAGUUCGAAGCAAUAGUUGACACCCAGUGUCUCAUCGGCAAAGCCGAAGAAAGUUGGUACCCAGCACCUCAUCGAAUCUAUCCGAAGAAAUAUAGUGACACCCAGUGUCUCAUUGACUCGAGGUCGAAGUAUCCCUGAACUCUUCCAAUCCUAUGGCAUGCCAACUAUAUCCGACUCAGCCCGACUAGUUAAUAGGGUAUUUAAAUCACAUAUAAUCCCAAUUCAAUCACAAUUUCUCACACUUUCAAUUCAAUCAUUUUUCAACCUUUCAAUCAAUAAUUAAUCCGCAAUUCACAUAUUUUCACAACUCAAUACAUUUCCAUUCAAUUUAAUAUCGGUCACUGUUCGAUUUAAAUUCACUUCCCACUUUCAAUCAACAAACAAUUCAAAUAUUAAUUCAUAUCAACUAUUCAAAUUAAUUCCCACUCAUCUUAAUAAUAAUAAUAAAAAUAAUAAUAAUACUAUUACUAAUACUAAUAUUAAUACUUACCUCACAUUUCAUUUACUAAACUCAUAAAUUAAAAUUUAACAUUUAAAAAUAAAUAAUUUGAAUUAUAGUAAUACAAACCGUAAAUCUCCCGCUUUAGUCCUCGAUAGCUUUCCCUUUUCCUUUUGAUGCCGAUGCCUCGGGUUCUUUAUUAGCUACGAAAAUAAUAAUAAUUUAUACUAUUAAUUACAGCACUAAUUAUAAUAAAUAAUUGAAUUUCUAUUCAAUUUCUUCCUAAUUCUCAAUUUAAUCCUAACUAAAUUCACUUACUUCCCUAAUUCAAUUCACACUCUAUUUCUAUUCAAAUUUCAUCCAAACUAAAAUUUAACUAUCAAAAUUUCAGCAUAUUUUGCUAAUUUCGAAUUUCUCUAAAUUUAGUCCUUAAAACAUAAAACUUAUAGCUUGUUUUACAAUUUAAUCCCUUUUUCAAUUCUAACUUAAAAUUCCUUCAAUUUAAUCCCUAAUUCAUCUCUUUUGUUCAACAUAAACUAUUCUUGAAAACCUAUGAACUUACAAAAUAUCAACUUGAUUCCAUCAAAACUUUGUUUUAAAGCUUUUAAAACAUUAGAACUAAGAGAAAAGGGCUAAUUUGACUUACCAAAUUAACUCCAAGCUUUAAAAAUCUAUUUUCCCCUUUUUUCUUUCUUUUUUCUUCUUUCUUCCCCUGUUUCGUUUGCUUCUCUGUUUCUUUGUUCUUUCUAUUCUGUUUCUUU